AUUGAACGCUGGCGGCAUGCCUUACACAUGCAAGUCGAACGGCAGCACGGGUGCUUGCCCCUGGUGGCGAGUGGCGAACGGGUGAGUAAUACAUCGGAACAUGUCCUGUAGUGGGGGAUAGCCCGGCGAAAGCCGGAUUAAUAGCGCAUACGAUCUACGGAUGAAAGCGGGGGACCUUCGGGCCUCGCGCUAUAGGGUUGGCCGAUGGCUGAUUAGCUAGUUGGUGGGGUAAAGGCCUACCAAGGCGACGAUCAGUAGCUGGUCUGAGAGGACGACCAGCCACACUGGGACUGAGACACGGCCCAGACUCCUACGGGAGGCAGCAGUGGGGAAUUUUGGACAAUGGGCGAAAGCCUGAUCCAGCAAUGCCGCGUGUGUGAAGAAGGCCUUCGGGUUGUAAAGCACUUUUGUCCGGAAAGAAAUCCUUGGCCCUAAUACGGUCGGGGGAUGACGGUACCGGAAGAAUAAGCACCGGCUAACUACGUG
Molecule: ribosomal RNA, 486 nt
Filed under: uncultured bacterium
Lineage: Bacteria
Description: partial 16S ribosomal RNA
Rfam family: Bacterial small subunit ribosomal RNA
Source: RNAcentral